UGAGGAAUAUUGGUCAAUGGGCGAAAGCCUGACGCAGCAACGCCGCGUGAGUGAUGAAGGCUUUCGGGUCGUAAAGCUCUGUCAAGGGGAAAGAAGUGUAUUGUGGUUAAUACCCAUGAUGCUUGACGGUACCCCUAAAGGAAGCACCGGCUAACUCCGUGCCAGCAGCCGCGGUAAUACGGAGGAUCCAAGCGUUAUCCGGAUUUAUUGGGUUUAAAGGGUGUGCAGGCGGACUAAUAAGUCAGUGGUGAAAUCUACAUGCUUAACAUGUAAUGUGCCAUUGAUACUGUUAGACUAGUAUGCAAAUGACGUAGCUGGAAUGUGUUAUGUAGCGGUGAAAUGCUUAGAUAUAACACAGAACACCGAUCGUGAAGACAGGUUACGAAUUUGUUAUAGACGCUCAUGCACGAAAGCGUGGGGAUCAAACA
RNAcentral lists this ribosomal RNA (428 nucleotides) under uncultured prokaryote. RNAcentral describes it as "bacterial SSU rRNA". It matches the Rfam family "Bacterial small subunit ribosomal RNA", at positions 355 to 774 of the family's 1533-position model. The record is from RNAcentral.